Molecule: ribosomal RNA, 433 nt
Filed under: uncultured bacterium
Lineage: Bacteria
Description: partial 16S ribosomal RNA
Rfam family: Bacterial small subunit ribosomal RNA
Source: RNAcentral
AACGAACGCUGGCGGCAUGCCUAACACAUGCAAGUCGAACGAGACCUUCGGGUCUAGUGGCGCACGGGUGCGUAACGCGUGGGAACCUGCCCUUAGGUUCGGAAUAACUCCCCGAAAGGGGUGCUAAUACCGGAUAAUGUCUUCGGACCAAAGAUUUAUCGCCUUUGGAUGGGCCCGCGUUGGAUUAGCUAGUUGGUAGGGUAAAAGCCUACCAAGGCGACGAUCCAUAGCUGGUCUGAGAGGAUGAUCAGCCACACUGGGACUGAGACACGGCCCAGACUCCUACGGGAGGCAGCAGUGGGGAAUAUUGGACAAUGAGCGAAAGCCUGAUCCAGCAAUGCCGCGUGAGUGAUGAAGGCCUUAGGGUUGUAAAGCUCUUUUACCCGAGAUGAUAAUGACAGUACCGGGAGAAUAAGCUCCGGCUAACUCCGUG